This 208-nucleotide unclassified non-coding RNA is filed under the name Hevea brasiliensis (rubber tree). The record is from RNAcentral. Lineage: Eukaryota; Viridiplantae; Streptophyta; Magnoliopsida; Malpighiales; Euphorbiaceae.
AGAAGGAGGUUUUGAAGCUAAGCCUGUUAAAGAUUGCAAGGAACAUUGACAAUACUGUUAGUACAUGUUUGUCAUAGAGUAUGUACCACUGCAAUUUUUGCAUUAUUCUAAUGCUUAGUUUACUCAUUUAAUUUGUAUAGAGUAUAUAGUUAAAAGGGUUCUGCAUAUAUUGUUGUAUAACUGAUGUUGGUUUCGAGGUUCGAGAAAG